AGUAGGACUUAUUACUCUUCUGAUAGAUGAGCAAAUUGAGAUUCCAGAAAGACCUCACAGCCAGCAAGUUGGAGAGCUGCUUUUUGAUGCUAGACAGUUGGCCUCUGGCCUGUAAUCUUAAUACCCCAGACCAUCUUUCCAUGUGGCCCUCAUAGGCCCUAGAACAGUUGCUCAGGGGAAUCCCGGAGCAAGAGAUGAGCACAGGUGGGAGAUUCUUCGCAGACUGUCUGCAGCUCACGCUAAGGUGCGAGGAAGUGGCUGGAGUGGAGGAAGGAGGUUGAGCUGCUCUCAGAUGUGGCCUACUUUGGCCUCACCACACUUGCAGGCUACCAGACCCUGGGGGAGGAGUACGUCAGCAUCAUCCAGGUGGACCCAUCGCGGAUACAUGUGCCCUCCUCGCUGCGCCGUGGCGUGCUGGUGACACUGCAUGCCGUCCUGCCCUACCUGCUGGACAAGGCCCUGCUCCCCCUGGAGCAGGAGCUGCAGGCUGACCCCGACAGUGGGCGACCCUUGCAGGGGAGCCUGGGGCCAGGUGGGCGUGGCUGCUCA
Molecule: long non-coding RNA, 549 nt
Filed under: Homo sapiens (human)
Lineage: Eukaryota; Metazoa; Chordata; Mammalia; Primates; Hominidae
Description: non-protein coding lnc-MORN1-1:1
Source: RNAcentral